RNAcentral lists this ribosomal RNA (497 nucleotides) under uncultured bacterium. RNAcentral describes it as "partial 16S ribosomal RNA". It matches the Rfam family "Bacterial small subunit ribosomal RNA", at positions 28 to 507 of the family's 1533-position model. The record is from RNAcentral.
GAUGAACGCUGGCGGCGUGCCUAAUACAUGCAAGUCGAGCGAACAGAUAAGGAGCUUGCUCCUUUGACGUUAGCGGCGGACGGGUGAGUAACACGUGGGUAACCUACCUAUAAGACUGGGAUAACUUCGGGAAACCGGAGCUAAUACCGGAUAACAUUUGGAACCGCAUGGUUCUAAAGUGAAAGAUGGUUUUGCUAUCACUUAUAGAUGGACCCGCGCCGUAUUAGCUAGUUGGUAAGGUAACGGCUUACCAAGGCAACGACACGUAGCCGACCUGAGAGGGUGAUCGGCCACACUGGAACUGAGACACGGUCCAGACUCCUACGGGAGGCAGCAGUAGGGAAUCUUCCGCAAUGGGCGAAAGCCUGACGGAGCAACGCCGCGUGAGUGAUGAAGGGUUUCGGCUCGUAAAACUCUGUUAUUAGGGAAGAACAAACGUGUAAGUAACUGUGCACGUCUUGACGGUACCUAAUCAGAAAGCCACGGCUAACUACGUG